CCGGCCAAUGCAAAGAGAACUUUUACUU
Molecule: non-coding RNA, 28 nt
Filed under: Cricetulus griseus (Chinese hamster)
Lineage: Eukaryota; Metazoa; Chordata; Mammalia; Rodentia; Cricetidae
Source: RNAcentral